Patagioenas fasciata monilis is the source of this 138-nucleotide small nucleolar RNA. It matches the Rfam family "Small nucleolar RNA SNORA5". From Rfam's summary of the family: ACA5 is a member of the H/ACA class of snoRNA that guide the sites of modification of uridines to pseudouridines. The record is from Rfam. Lineage: Eukaryota; Metazoa; Chordata; Aves; Columbiformes; Columbidae.
GGCAGCCCUGUCAAAUUCGGUCCCUGCCUCACCCGUGGUGGGGACCGGCCAACCGGCUGCCACAGCAACUUCUGCCGUCCACGGUCCCCUCGUCCCCUCCCGUGGGGACCCAGGGGUAAAGUCACACUGCAGACACAG